This 660-nucleotide ribosomal RNA is filed under the name uncultured bacterium. Its description in RNAcentral is "bacterial SSU rRNA". It matches the Rfam family "Bacterial small subunit ribosomal RNA", at positions 45 to 712 of the family's 1533-position model. The record is from RNAcentral.
GGCCUAUCAUGCAAGUCGAACGGUCGGUAGCAAUACUGAUAGUGGCGCACGGGUGCGUAACGCGUAGCCAACCUACCCACAUCUGGGGGAUAGCCCGCCGAAAGGCGGAUUAAUACCGCAUAAGCCAGUGUCCCGGCAUCGGGGUGUUGGUAAAGAUUUAUUGGAUGUGGAUGGGGCUGCGUGCCAUUAGCUAGUUGGUGAGGUAACGGCUCACCAAGGCGACGAUGGCUAGGGGAGCUGAGAGGCUGGUCCCCCACACGGGCACUGAGAUACGGGCCCGACUCCUACGGGAGGCAGCAGUAGGGAAUAUUGGGCAAUGGCCGAGAGGCUGACCCAGCCAUGCCGCGUGCAGGACGAAGGCUUUCUGAGUCGUAAACUGCUUUUUUCCGGGAAGAACCACUGCCUUGCGAGGCAGCCUGACGGUACCGGGAGAAUAAGCACCGGCUAACUCCGUGCCAGCAGCCGCGGUAAUACGGAGGGUGCGAGCGUUGUCCGGAUUUAUUGGGUUUAAAGGGUGCGUAGGCGGCUUUGUAAGUCUGGGGUGAAAGCCCGUUGCUCAACAACGGAACUGCCCUGGAAACUGCGGAGCUUGAGUCCAGUCGAGGUUGGCGGAAUGGGCGAUGUAGCGGUGAAAUGCAUAGAUAUCGCCCAGAACACCGA